GACGAACGCUGGCGGCGUGCUUAACACAUGCAAGUCGAACGGACAGGCCCUGCUUUUGUGGGGUGCUCGAGUGGCGCACGCGUGAGUAACACGUGAGUAACCUGCCCUUGUCUUUGGGAUAACUUCAGGAAACUGGGGCUAAUACCGGAUAGGAUCUCCUGCUGCAUGGUGGGGGUUGGAAAGUUUCGGCGGUUGGGGAUAUACUCGCUGCUUAUCAGCUUCUUUGUGAGGUAGUGGUAUACCAAGGCUUUGACGGAUAGCCGACCUGAGAGGUGAGACGGCGACAAGAGGACUGAGAUACGGAGCAGAAUGCAACGGGAGGCAGUAGGGGAGAGUAUGACAGAGUGAGCGGGAGCGAGAGGCGAAGGCGCCGGGUGCGGGAAGACGGGCUUCGAGGGAUGAACAGAUGUGGACGGAAAUGAAGAGUGAGUGACGGUAAUGGGUAAAAAAGCACCGGCUAACUACGUG
RNAcentral lists this ribosomal RNA (468 nucleotides) under uncultured bacterium. RNAcentral describes it as "partial 16S ribosomal RNA". It matches the Rfam family "Bacterial small subunit ribosomal RNA", at positions 28 to 507 of the family's 1533-position model. The record is from RNAcentral.